GUGGAAAUACUACUGGCUUAGGUUGAUUCUAUAUAUGCUUCUCGCACUUUGCAUCGGUACUGUAUUUUCUGGAUUGGGGCAUACCUUAUCAUCUGCUGUGACACGAGUAGCAGCAAUUUUUGUAUUUGUUUCAUUCACCUCUCUAUUGAGCAUUGCCGGUGUACCUGCACAGAUGAAAGAAAUUAAGAUAUACGCCUGCGAGGAAUCAAACCAGCAUUCUGGUGCAUUUAUUUUCCUACUUGGGCAGCUUUUUGCCAGCAUCCCUUUCUUGUUUCUCAUCUCCAUUUCGUCAAGUCUGGUCUUCUAUUUUCUAAUAGGACUGCGACAUGAGUUCAGCUUGCUGAUGUACUUUGUGCUGAAUUUCUUUGCGUGUCUAUUGGUAAAUGAGGGUCUGCUGCUGCUGGUUGCUUCCAUUUGUCAAAAUAUCUUCUGGAGCAUCUUAAGUUUUGUGUCCAUACAUGUGAUAAUGAUGCUUUCGGCUGGUUUUUUUAGAAUCAGAAGUGCUUUGCCUAGACCAGCAUGGAUGUACCCCAUUUCUUAUAUAGCUUUUCAUACCUACUCUAUCCAGGGGCUCUUGGAGAACGAGUACAUCGAGACCUCUUUUGCUGUUGGUCAGGUGAGGACCAUAUCUGGUAAUCAGGCUUUGCAAAAUGUAUAUGACAUAUCUGCUGAUAGCAACUCGAAG
RNAcentral lists this unclassified non-coding RNA (685 nucleotides) under Hevea brasiliensis (rubber tree). The record is from RNAcentral. Lineage: Eukaryota; Viridiplantae; Streptophyta; Magnoliopsida; Malpighiales; Euphorbiaceae.